UUCGCAAUGCCCGAAAGGGUGACGAAGCGACGCCGCGUGUGGGAAGAAGGCCUUCGGGUUGUAAACCACUGUCGGGAGUUAAGAAAUGUAAGGGUGUUAAUAGCAUUCUUACUUGACGUUAGCUCCGGAGGAAGCCACGGCUAACUCUGUGCCAGCAGCCGCGGUAAUACAGAGGUGGCAAGCGUUGUUCGGAAUUAUUGGGCGUAAAGAGCACGUAGGCGGCCCUGCAAGUCAGCUGUGAAAUCCUUCUGCUCAACGGAAGAACGGCAGUUGAUACUACAGGGCUCGAGUGCGGGAGGGGAGAGUGGAACUUCUGGUGGAGCGGUGAAAUGCGUAGAUAUCAGAAGGAACAUCGGCGGCGAAAGCGACUCUCUGGCCCGUAACUGACGCUGAGGUGCGAAAGCUAGGGGAGCAAACGGGAUUAGAUACCCCGGUAGUCCUAGCCGUAAACGAUGGGCACUAAGUAGAGGGGUU
This 474-nucleotide ribosomal RNA is filed under the name uncultured bacterium. Its description in RNAcentral is "bacterial SSU rRNA". It matches the Rfam family "Bacterial small subunit ribosomal RNA", at positions 365 to 830 of the family's 1533-position model. The record is from RNAcentral.